AACGAACGCUGGCGGCAUGCCUAACACAUGCAAGUCGAACGAGACCUUCGGGUCUAGUGGCGCACUGGUUCUUCACUCGUUUGCACCUGCCCUUCGGUUCGGAAUACCUCCCCGCACGGUGUGCUCCUACCUUCUCCUGUCUUCUUCCCAAAUAUUUCUCUCCUUUUGAUUGGCCCUCGUUGGCUUAGCUAGUUGUUAGGGUAAACGCCUACCAAGGCGACGAUCCCUCGCUGGUCGGAGAGGAUGAGCAGCCACACUGGGACGGAGACCAGGCCCAGACGCCGAAGGGAAGCAGCAGGGGGGAAUAUUGGACAAUGGGCGAAAGCCUGAGCCAGCAAUGAAGCGUGAGUGAUGAAGGCCUGAGGGUUGUAAAGCUCUUUUACCAGGGAUGAUAAUGACAGUACCGGGAGAAUAAGCUCCGGCUAACUCAGUG
RNAcentral lists this ribosomal RNA (433 nucleotides) under uncultured bacterium. Its description in RNAcentral is "partial 16S ribosomal RNA". It matches the Rfam family "Bacterial small subunit ribosomal RNA", at positions 29 to 507 of the family's 1533-position model. The record is from RNAcentral.